CAAUGAAACCGCGCCUACCCGGCCGGAUUCUCACACCAUUGUGUACCAAACUUUUGUUGCCUCGGCGGGCUGGGUGCCCACCAGCGCCCCCCCUCGCGGGAGUCGCCCGCCGCAGGACUUUUCAAACCAGUUCGUUGAUGAACGUCUGAUUUUAUUUUCUAAAAGAAAUA
This 170-nucleotide unclassified non-coding RNA is filed under the name uncultured Ascomycota. Its description in RNAcentral is "sequence contains ITS1". Lineage: Eukaryota; Fungi; Ascomycota. The record is from RNAcentral.